AGGGCGUACGGUGGAUGCCUUGGCGAUAUCAGCCGAAGAAGGACGCGGUAAGCUGCGAUAAGCUACGGAGAGGUGCAAGCAACCUUUGACCCGUAGAUUUCCGAAUGGGGGAACCCGGCAGUGGUUAUGCACUGUCACCCAUAGCUUAGACUAUGAGGAGGGCACCUGGGGAACUGAAACAUCUAAUUACCCGGAGGAACAGUAAUCAAACGAGAUUUUCUUAGUAGCGGCGAGCGAACGGGAAAGAGGCCAAACCGGAGCGGGCAACCGCACCGGGGUUGAGGACAGUCAUCAAGUGUAAAUGAGGUAGAAGAAUCGAGUUGGAAAGCUCAGCCGAAGAAGGUGAAAGCCCUGUAAUCGAAACCUUGCAUACACGGGACUGUAUCCAGAGUACCACGAGACACGUGAAACCUUGUGGGAAGCAGGGGGGACCACCCUCCAAGCCAAAAUACUGAUAUCGACCGAUAGCGCAUAGUACCGUGAGGGAAAGGUGAAAAGAACCCCUGGCGGGGAGUGAAAGAGAACCUGAAACCGUAUGUCUACAAACAGUCGAAGUCUGUAUAUAUAUCAGGACGACGGCGUGCCUAUUGAAGAAUGAACCGACGAGUUACUGUUGCUAGCGAGGUUAAGUGGAAAACAUGGAGCCGCAGCGAAAGCGAGUCUGAACAGGGCGUAUAGUUAGUAAUAGUAGACCCGAAACCGUAGUGAUCUAUCCAUGGCCAGGUUGAAGCACAGGUAAAAUUGUGUGGAGGACCGAACUCGUGAGCGUUGAAAAGCUUUGGGAUGAGUUGUGGAUAGGGGUGAAAUGCCAAUCGAACACGGAGAUAGCUGGUUCUCCCCGAAAUAGCUUUAGGGCUAGCCUCGAGGUUGAGAGUAUAGGCGGUAGAGCACUGAUCGGGCUAGGGGCCAUACCGGUUACCGAACCUAGUCAAACUACGAAUGGCUAUACUUAUACUCGGGAGUCAGACAGUGAAUGAUAAGGUCCAUUGUCAAGAGGGAAACAGCCCAGAACACCGACUAAGGUCCCCAAUGUUACACUAAGUGGCGAAGGAUGUGGAAUUUCCAAAACAACCAGGAUGUUGGCUUAGAAGCAGCCACCAUUUAAAGAGUGCGUAAUAGCUCACUGGUCGAGAGACUCUGCGCCGAAAAUGUCCGGGGCUAAAGUGUAAAACCGAAGUCGUGUCAUAUGCAGCAAUGUAUAUGGGUAGGGGAGCGUUCUCAUCGGGCUGAAGCAGUACCGUAAGGAGUUGUGGACUGAUGAGAAGUGAGAAUGUCGGUAUGAGUAGCGAAAAGAAUGGUGAGAAUCCAUUCCACCGAAAGCCUAAGGGUUCCUGAGCAACGAUCGUCGUCUCAGGGUAAGUCGGGACCUAAGCCGAGGCGGAAAAGCGUAGGCGAUGGACAACAGGUUGAAAUUCCUGUACCGGUGUGAAUCGUUUGAUCGAUGGAGUGACACAGUAAGGUAGGUCAGCACGCGAUUGGAAGAGCGUGUUUAAGCAGGUAGGUUGAGCUAUAGGCAAAUCCGUAGCUCUAAAAGCUGAGAUGUGAUGACGAGUGACUAGCAAUAGUCGCGAAGUGAUUGAUCCUACACUGUCGAGAAAAGCUUCUAGGUAGAGACACAUCGCCCGUACCAAAACCGACACAGGUAGGCGGGGAGAGAAUCCUAAGGUGCGCGGGAAAACCCUCGUUAAGGAACUCGGCAAAAUGCCUCCGUAACUUCGGGAAAAGGAGGACUCAUGUAGUGUGAAGAGCAGAAGCGCUUGGAGCAUGAAUGAGUGGCACAAGAGAGGCGCAAGCGACUGUUUACCACAAACACAGGUGCCUGCUAAAGCGAAAGCUGAUGUAUAGGUGCUGACACCUGCCCGGUGCUGGAAGGUUAAGAGGAGGGGUUAGACUUCGGUCGAAGCUCUGAAUUGAAGCCCCAGUAAACGGCGGCCGUAACUAUAACGGUCCUAAGGUAGCGAAAUUCCUUGUCGGGUAAGUUCCGACCCGCACGAAAGGUGUAACGACUUGCGCACUGUCUCAACGAGGGACCCGGUGAAAUUGAAGUACCUGUGAAGAUGCAGGUUACCCGCGACUGGACAGAAAGACCCCAUGGAGCUUUACUGCAACCUAAGAUUGAACUUAGUUAAUGAAUGUACAGGAUAGGUGGGAGACGUAGAACCUAGGACGCCAGUUUUAGGGGAGUCAUUGUUGGGAUACCACCCUUUCAUUAAUUGAUUUCUAACGGGCCGAGUAACGACCGGCCGGACAGUCUUAGGCGGGCAGUUUGACUGGGGCGGUCGCCUCCAAAAGAGUAACGGAGGCGCCCAAAGGUUCCCUCAGAGCGGACGGAAAUCGCUCG
RNAcentral lists this ribosomal RNA (2341 nucleotides) under human gut metagenome. RNAcentral describes it as "bacterial LSU rRNA". It matches the Rfam family "Bacterial large subunit ribosomal RNA", at positions 14 to 2344 of the family's 2925-position model. The record is from RNAcentral.